ACAAAAAGACAUGCAUCAUGAAGACUGGGGCUUGAAGAUUGACAAUCAUGAAGAUUGUCAAAGCACAACAUGCUAAAGACUUAAUUUUGGUUUAGAAACCAGGUUUCUUCUUCCUAGACAUUAAAACAUAUAAAACCAGAACAAAACAAAACAACCCUCAAAAAACUUCAGUAGUAAUUUACAAUCACGGAUUUUAUGGGUAAUGUACUCCUUGUGGGAGUUCAGAAUUACUUAGAAGAUUUGUAGACAAGAUUUUUAUGCUCUGUUUACAUUUUCUAGGAGCUUAAGAGAAAACAGUCUGAAAUAAGCUGCAGCUAACAUGCUACAGGAAAUGAAGGAAGGGAACCAGACUUCUCAGGAAAGAUUUACAUUUAUAUAAUGGUGAUGGCUAUAUUUUGGCUUAGAAAAAGGAAUGCAAUUGUUGUAAAAUACACAGAAAAGCUGUUGACUAGUGUUUCUCCUUACUUAGUGGAUCAUGAACCACUCCAACACUGUACACUGCAACAAAAUGCUUUUUAAGAGAGCUGUUUCACCAUUGCACGAUACUUUGUUUACAGACCAAAACAUCUUGCAUCAGCAAUUCCUCUCUGUAUGGCAACCAAAGAGACACUAAGCCAGCACAACCCUCGUCUAUGCCAAAUGUGUUGGUGCAGAACCCACCAGGACAUUUUCCAUGGUUUCCAUGGAGGAAGCAUUCAGUCUGUUGGUAAGCAGUAAUGCGUUCUUGGAAGUGUAACAUCAUCUUUUAUGAAAGAUGUCCACAGCACAUUGAUGGAAGAACCUGCAAUCAGUUUCUCACUACUUUGUAACAUUUCCAUUGGUGGGAAUCAGAGAUCCUUUGAGAGAGUCUGCACUAUACAUCUCUUUCUGGAGUUCUUACUCAUCUAUUUAGGAAGCAUCAAGUUUUGCAUACAUCAGCUAACUAGCUGAGAUGAAAAUAAACUGCAAAGAGAUAUAGUAUCAUAAAACCUCAUCUCAAGAAAGUACUUGUUAGGCCAUGAGAGAGACCUCUCUGACAAAGCUAAACAACACACAACACCUGUUUUCAGAACAUGACAAAGACUGUGAUGUGAGGUUUGAUUGAUCAGUACUUCAUGCUCAAAGAUGCUGUAUCUCAACUACAACUUUGAAAGGUCAAAGUUCCUUUGAGAAGAUAUACCCCGAAGGGAGAGCUGCAGGCCAGAGCCUAGAGAUGCUGAAGGUUUCAUGAGCUUCUGCCAGUACCCACUGUGAAGGCAAGUGCAACUGCAGCAGUCAUUCUCAAGCAGCAAAUUCAAUUCAUGGUAUCACAGCUAUCCUGAUGAAAAAUUAUUUACACAUUCACAUUCUACUGAUAUCAAUACGUACAAACAACAAAAGAAACCAUGUUUAAACAACUCCAGAAACAGAAACCACACCAAGUCUUGACUUUUCAACAACUAAAGGAGCAAAGCUGAGUACAGACCUCUGAACUAUUUGCUGCACAAAAACUCCCCUUAUUGCUGGCAGGUCUUUUCACUGGCACACAAAGAAGUCAGUA
Molecule: long non-coding RNA, 1519 nt
Organism: Passer domesticus (house sparrow)
Lineage: Eukaryota; Metazoa; Chordata; Aves; Passeriformes; Passeridae
Exons: 3
Source: RefSeq, a predicted model, not a curated record